This 498-nucleotide ribosomal RNA is filed under the name uncultured bacterium. RNAcentral describes it as "partial 16S ribosomal RNA". It matches the Rfam family "Bacterial small subunit ribosomal RNA", at positions 30 to 523 of the family's 1533-position model. The record is from RNAcentral.
AUUGAACGCUGGCGGCAUGCCUUACACAUGCAAGUCGAACGGUAACAGGUCUUCGGAUGCUGACGAGUGGCGAACGGGUGAGUAAUACAUCGGAACGUGCCUAGUAGUGGGGGAUAACUACUCGCAAGAGUGGCCAAUACCGCAUGAGAUGUCCGUAAUAAAGCAGGGGAUCGCAAGACCUUCUCCUACUAGAACGGCCGAUGGCAGAUUAGGGAGUUGGUGGGAUAAAAGCUUACCAAGCCGACGAUCUGUAGCUGGUCUGAGAGGACGAUCAGCCACACUGGGACUAAGACACGGCCCAGACUCCUACGGGAGGCAGCAGUGGGGAAUUUUGGACAAUGGGCGAAAGCCUGAUCCAGCAAUGCCGCGUGCAGGAUGAAGGCCUUCGGGUUGUAAACUGCUUUUGUACGGAACGAAAAGCCCCGGGUUAAUACCCUGGGGUCAUGACGGUACCGUAAGAAUAAGCACCGGCUAACUACGUGCCAGCAGCCGCGGUAA